GCCACAUGGUGAUUUGAAAUAUACUUUGCAUUGGCACGUGUGCAAAGAAGACUAUAUAUCUAUCACCCAUGUGUGAUGGCU
Small nucleolar RNA from Megalops cyprinoides (Indo-Pacific tarpon), 81 nucleotides. RefSeq annotates it as small nucleolar RNA SNORD83. NCBI's taxonomy places the organism in Eukaryota, Metazoa, Chordata, Actinopteri, Elopiformes, Megalopidae. The transcript has a single exon. The record is from RefSeq and is a predicted model, not a curated record.